RNAcentral lists this long non-coding RNA (447 nucleotides) under Anser brachyrhynchus (Pink-footed goose). RNAcentral's name for it is "lncRNA (ENSABRG00000008529.1)". Lineage: Eukaryota; Metazoa; Chordata; Aves; Anseriformes; Anatidae. The record is from RNAcentral.
GAAAAAGCUGAUUUGUGUGCCUGAUUUAGAAGCUUAGGCAUCUUAACUGGUUAAGAGAGGAAGAGAGGGGGAAAGAGAGACAUGCUCCCAACUUUGAUACUCCAUUUUUUCCUUUGGGAGAGCUGCUUUGUCACCACAGGUGUAUGUAAAUACGUGCUAUGAAGGCAAUAAGAAAAAAAGACCAAGAGCUACUGAAAAACAACAACAAGAACAACAACAACAAACAACAACAGAAAAUUCAGUCUGAAUUUCAGUUCUACCUGUCAGAGGGCACCAAGCUGUUCCUUACAGGAGCAAUGGUGAUGGUGUAGCAUUUCCUGAAAAGAAGAGAGUUGACUGUCAAUGCAAAGGAGGAAGUUUUGUUUUUGGCAAUGAAGAUAGAUGAAUCAGAACAAGGGAGGGAAGGAGAAGAAUAAAGGCAGAGGAGAGUGUCUGGAUCUGAAACGA